RNAcentral lists this unclassified non-coding RNA (393 nucleotides) under Bartonella grahamii. RNAcentral describes it as "partial 16S-23S ribosomal RNA intergenic spacer". The stretch from base 319 to 391 matches the Rfam family "tRNA". RNAcentral also lists the same sequence under 1 other name. The record is from RNAcentral. Lineage: Bacteria; Pseudomonadati; Pseudomonadota; Alphaproteobacteria; Hyphomicrobiales; Bartonellaceae.
AGCUCAGUUGGUUAGAGCGCGCGCUUGAUAAGCGUGAGGUCGGAGGUUCAAGUCCUCCCAGGCCCACCAAUUUAUGCUCGUUUUUUGCUUAUCCAAGAGUAUAAAGCUUAAGCGUAUUAAAGCCUCUUCAAUCUUUGUUUAUUUUUAAAGAUUUUAUUUUAUCAUUCAGAGAUUGUUUGUUAAAUUUAUCCCAUUAAGCUUCCAAAGAGGCUUUGUCCCUUCAGUGGUACAGAUAAAUUUACAUGAUACAAAUCAAAACAGGACAGGUAAUUCAAGUUGAUGAAUUUGGUUAUGGUUGAUUUGAGAGAGCAUUAUUUAGGGGCCGUAGCUCAGCUGGGAGAGCACCUGCUUUGCAAGCAGGGGGUCGUCGGUUCGAUCCCGUCCGGCUCCACC